AUUUUCGCAUCUAUUUCGUGCAGAAACGACUCCGACUCAGUCCGACACUCUCCAGACGUGUCUACCAGUCACAAAAACUAUAGCCAAUCCUAUCCAAACCUCUGGAACACUACAUCCUCCCCUAUUACAAAAAGUUUCGAUCGCGAAACUGAAAUAUACCUCAAUCCUGAGCCACAAAAAGGUAGGGGUAGGACUCUUUUAUCACCGCCUCCGGCUCUGAAGUCGCCUCCCGUUCCU
RNAcentral lists this long non-coding RNA (237 nucleotides) under Ananas comosus (pineapple). Its description in RNAcentral is "long non-coding RNA (ACOM_LNC026462)". The record is from RNAcentral. Lineage: Eukaryota; Viridiplantae; Streptophyta; Magnoliopsida; Poales; Bromeliaceae.